GACGAACGCUGGCGGCGUGCUUAACACAUGCAAGUCGAACGGAAAGGCCCUGCUUUUGUGGGGUGCUCGAGUGGCGAACGGGUGAGUAACACGUGAGUAACCUGCCCUUGACUUUGGGAUAACUUAAGGAAACUGGGGCUAAUACCGGAUAGGAGCUCCUGUUGCAUGGUGGGGGUUGGAAAGUUUCGGCGGUUGGGGAUGGACUCGCGGCUUAUCAGCUUGUUGGUGGGGUAGUGGCUUACCAAGGCUGUGACGGGUAGCCGGCCUGAGAGGGUGACCGGGCACAUUGGGACUGAGAUACGGCCCAGACUCCUACGGGAGGCAGCAGUGGGGAAUAUUGCACAAUGGGAGGAAGCCUGAUGCAGCAACGCCGCGUUCGGGAUGACGGCCUUCGGGUUGUAAACCGCUUUCGCCUGUGACGAAGCGUGAGUGACGGUAAUGGGUAAAGAAGCACCGGCUAACUACGUG
This 468-nucleotide ribosomal RNA is filed under the name uncultured bacterium. RNAcentral describes it as "partial 16S ribosomal RNA". It matches the Rfam family "Bacterial small subunit ribosomal RNA", at positions 28 to 507 of the family's 1533-position model. The record is from RNAcentral.